AGUAAGGUGCCUGAUUAAAAGGGCUACUUUGAUAGAGUAGAUCAUGUAAAUUUUUACUCUUACUA
This 65-nucleotide transfer RNA is filed under the name Lepas anatifera. RNAcentral describes it as "tRNA-Ile". The record is from RNAcentral. Lineage: Eukaryota; Metazoa; Arthropoda; Thecostraca; Lepadidae.